Molecule: ribosomal RNA, 468 nt
Filed under: uncultured bacterium
Lineage: Bacteria
Description: partial 16S ribosomal RNA
Rfam family: Bacterial small subunit ribosomal RNA
Source: RNAcentral
GACGAACGCUGGCGGCGUGCUUAACACAUGCAAGUCGAACGGAAAGGCCCUGCUUUUGUGGGGUGCUCGAGUGGCGAACGGGUGAGUAACACGUGAGUACCCUUCCCUUGACUUUGGGAUAACUUCAGGAAACUGGGGCUAAUCCCGGAUAGGAGCUCCUGCUGCAUUGUGGGGGUUGGAUAGUUUCGGCGGUUGGGGAUGGACUCGCGGCUUAUCAGCUUGUUGGUGGGGUAGUGGCUUACCAAGGCUUUGACGGGUAGACGGCCUGAGAGGGUGACCGGUGACAUUGGGACUGAGAUACGGCCCAGACUCCUACGGGAGGCAGCAGGGGGGAAUAUUGCACAAUGGGCGGAAGCCUGAGGCGGCAGCGCCGCGUGCGGGAUGACGGCCUGCGGGGUGUAAACCGCUUUCGCCUGUGACGAAGCGUGAGUGACGGUAAUGGGUAAAGAAGCACCGGCUAACUACGUG